RNAcentral lists this unclassified non-coding RNA (1181 nucleotides) under Hevea brasiliensis (rubber tree). The record is from RNAcentral. Lineage: Eukaryota; Viridiplantae; Streptophyta; Magnoliopsida; Malpighiales; Euphorbiaceae.
AAGGUAAUGACUUUCUGAAAGACUGGAUUGCUUCACUGGUCCUCUCCUUGCUUGUGGUGGGUCAUCCUUGUUACGGCUUCGUUUUCUAUACAUCCCUCCAUAGCUUUGGGUUGAUUAGUGCUAUGCUGCUAUUGCAAUAUGUGUCCUCUCAAAUAUAUAGGAUCAAGAAAACAACAGGCGAGGUGAAAUCAAUCAAAGCUCACAAACCAAGUUAAUCACUCACUUUAAAGGCAAUGGCGCACCCACUGAGGACUACAUUGACUUGGGGUUUUCGGCAUCCACAUCAGCGGUGACGAGGAUCGUUUCGUGAUAAAUGGCUCCAUGGAAAGUUUUGAUGAGACUACAAGAGUAGACACCACCUAUAUGGUGCACGAAAUCUUUCGGUCUCACCUUGAGUUGAAGCUGCCAAUGCUCUGAUGUGAUGUGGGUGAGAAUGCAUGUGUAUAUAGUCUUUGUUGCAGCCCAAAAUUCAACAAAAUUUUCAUCAAAAUCUAAACACAUUAUGUAUCUUUGCCAAACCAGAUAAAAGCGGAUUGUGCUACCUAACCUAGUAGGUAUGGAUGAGAAAUUCAGACUCUUUCAUUUCACCUCGCCAUUUCUGGUGAAAUCACGCCAAGGACAGGACUUAUGGAGAUUGUGCAAAGCCUAUCGAUAAGAGGAAAGGAGGAGCAAUGAUGGUGAAGCUUUGGUCUCUAGUUCGCGAUUUCAGGUGCAACAAAGCUCACUGAAGCUUAUUCUUGCAUCAAUAAGCAAAACAAAGGAAACACCGGUGAUGGGAGGCAUUGAAUUGAUUUGAUGAGUCACCUAUAUGUUCAUUUGAUAGCAUAUAUAUAAGAUGUUACAAGAUGUGAAAACAAUUAUAGAUGGUGGAAGCGAUGGAAGCUGCCUUGAUGGGUUGCUUACUAAUGGUCGUGGAUCCAAUGGGUAACAAAUUCAAUUCAAAAUUAGUGAGAUUAAAAUUAUUCUUCCAUAUGACAGAUUGAUUGUGCUUGUAUUGGUAUUUUUGUAUUGAAUUGACUCUUCUACUUCUAUUAUUGGAUAAUAUUUAUGAUUGAGAUAAGUAUGGUUGGAAAAGAUGGGAUAGUGAAAGAGGAGUGGAAAUUUGGAUUUUGUCAUUCUCGUUUACAUAAGAGGAGAUAGAGCAAUAAUGAAUUUUUUAUUUGUAGAAAAUUAUAAUUAAA